GGUGGCUCAGUGGUAGAGCACUUGCCUUGCACUCAUGAGGCCCUGGGUUCGAUUCCCCAGCACCA
Molecule: transfer RNA, 65 nt
Filed under: Dipodomys ordii (Ord's kangaroo rat)
Lineage: Eukaryota; Metazoa; Chordata; Mammalia; Rodentia; Heteromyidae
Rfam family: tRNA
About the family: Transfer RNA (tRNA) molecules are approximately 80 nucleotides in length. Their secondary structure includes four short double-helical elements and three loops (D, anti-codon, and T loops).
Source: Rfam by way of RNAcentral